RNAcentral lists this ribosomal RNA (464 nucleotides) under uncultured bacterium. RNAcentral's name for it is "bacterial SSU rRNA". It matches the Rfam family "Bacterial small subunit ribosomal RNA", at positions 32 to 507 of the family's 1533-position model. The record is from RNAcentral.
AACGCUGGCGGCGUGCCUAACACAUGCAAGUCGAACGGGGUAUUGAGAGCUUGCUCUUAAUACUUAGUGGCGAACGGGUGAGUAACGCGUGAGAAACCUGCCUCUCAGUGGGGGACAACAGUUGGAAACGACUGCUAAUACCGCAUAACAUAUCCGGAGGGCAUCCUCUGGAUAUCAAAGCUUUAUGUGCUGUAAGAUGGUCCCGCGUCUGAUUAGCUAGUUGGUGAGGUAACGGCCCACCAAGGCGACGAUCAGUAGCCGACCUGAGAGGGUGACCGGCCACAUUGGGACUGAGACACGGCCCAGACUCCUACGGGAGGCAGCAGUAGGGAAUAUUGGGCAAUGGGGGAAACCCUGACCCAGCAACGCCGCGUGAAGGAAGAAGGCCUUCGGGUUGUAAACUUCUUUUACCAGGGACGAACACAAUGACGGUACCUGGAGAAAAAGCAACGGCUAACUACGUG